Molecule: ribosomal RNA, 847 nt
Filed under: uncultured Gammaproteobacteria bacterium
Lineage: Bacteria; Pseudomonadati; Pseudomonadota; Gammaproteobacteria
Description: bacterial SSU rRNA
Rfam family: Bacterial small subunit ribosomal RNA
Source: RNAcentral
AGAGUUUGAUCCUGGCUCAGAUUGAACGCUGGCGGUAUGCUUAACACAUGCAAGUCGAACGGAAACGAUACUAGCUUGCUAGUAGGCGUCGAGUGGCGGACGGGUGAGUAACGCGUAGGAAUCUACCUGAUAGUGGGGGAUAGCCCGAAGAAAUUCGGAUUAAUACCGCAUAAUCUAUUCGUAGUAAAGUGGGGGACUUUCGAGCCUCACGCUAUCAGAUGAGCCUGCGUAAGAUUAGCUAGUUGGUAGGGUAAAAGCCUACCAAGGCGACGAUCUUUAGCUGGUCUGAGAGGAUGAUCAGCCACAUCGGGACUGAGACACGGCCCGAACUCCUACGGGAGGCAGCAGUGGGGAAUAUUGGACAAUGGGGGCAACCCUGAUCCAGCAAUACCGCGUGUGUGAAGAAGGCCUGAGGGUUGUAAAGCACUUUCAAUUGUGAAGAAAAGCUAGUGGUUAAUAGCCAUUAGCCUUGACGUUAACUUUAGAAGAAGCACCGGCUAACUCCGUGCCAGCAGCCGCGGUAAUACGGAGGGUGCAAGCGUUAAUCGGAAUUACUGGGCGUAAAGCGUGCGUAGGCGGUUUAUUAAGUCAGAUGUGAAAGCCCCGGGCUUAACCUGGGAACUGCAUUUGAAACUGGUCAACUAGAGUAUGGUUGAGGAAAGUGGAAUUUCUGGUGUAGCGGUGAAAUGCGUAGAUAUCAGAAGGAACAUCAAUGGCGAAGGCAACUUUCUGGACCAAUACUGACGCUGAGGUACGAAAGCGUGGGUAGCAAACAGGAUUAGAUACCCUGGUAGUCCACGCCGUAAACGAUGAUAACUAGCCGUUGGGGGGAUUUACCCCUUAGUGG